AUGAAGAAGACCAAAAGCUGCAAAGGCAAACACUUCCAAUGACGCUGAAUCUGAUGUGUACAGAUGAACUCAGGAGCCUACUAGAGUUGCCAAGGAACUUGUGCUUGAACUGAAGACCAGAAACGCAAAGAAAAUCAGUCAAACCAGUC
Molecule: long non-coding RNA, 149 nt
Organism: Carassius auratus (goldfish)
Lineage: Eukaryota; Metazoa; Chordata; Actinopteri; Cypriniformes; Cyprinidae
Exons: 3
Source: RefSeq, a predicted model, not a curated record